CUUCCUACAUUUCAUUCUAUACUUCCUUUAUUUUAUAUAAGUUCCUCUGUAGAAACUGCAGAACAUUCACAGAGAAAAAAUAACGUCGUUCCUAAUAUACAAUGGAAUAUCUUUUUCGUUCAAUUUGGAUGUUUAAAUUUUAUUUUGCUUUACACAUUCAUAAGAUAUUUGCUGAAAAUUAUCCUGGAAUCUGCUCGAAUGAUACCUUUGGGAAUAUCACAUGCUGUCAAAAUUACUUCAAAAAUGGCAGUUUUUGUAUUGCAUGCCCACUGGGUACGUUUGGAACAAAUUGCAGCAGUACUUGCCCUCAAGGAUUUUACGGAUUUUUUUGCAAAGAAAAAUGCAAAUGUUAUCCAUGUGACAAUGUCAACGGCUGCCAGAUGACA
Molecule: long non-coding RNA, 386 nt
Organism: Saccostrea cuccullata (small rock oyster)
Lineage: Eukaryota; Metazoa; Mollusca; Bivalvia; Ostreida; Ostreidae
Exons: 3
Source: RefSeq, a predicted model, not a curated record